UCCACAGAGAUGUCUGUCUCCUAGCUCAAUUAGUUGUGGGAAAGGAGAACACUCCAAAGAUGCUCCUCCUUGUACUCAUGUUCGUUACCCUGAAUCCUCUCAGUCCUCAAGGGUAGACUUCAUGAAGGAGACUCCCCUGCAGCUAAGCCACAAGGGUCUCUGAAAUUGCCUCUGGCCUGCAGCCUGUCCUACCUGGCUGUUGUCAUGGUCACUCUGUGAGGUCAAUGCCUCCCAACCCUUUAACCAAUAGGCUGAUGUGCUGCAGAAGGCCUUGUUAGGUCACUGCCAUAGUCACCCUUGCCCCGCAGGGCUAAUGUCCUGUCCCUAGUCAGCCCCUUUUCAUGUUUGAGUUGCACCCCAUGUCGCCCACGCUCACUGAAUGUUAGUUCUGGGAUCAAACAGGUUGCACAUGGAAACAGAGACUACUCAGUGCCAAAUGCUGUUUGCAGAGAUUUGCAGAUUGUGAAGCCAUGUAAUGCAAGGACAGCAGGAUGGAGCAAGAUGGGGGUACGGCAGCUGAAUACACACUGCAGGCUUUACAGACCUGAGCAACAUCGAGUACAUCUGCUAGUACAAAGAUAAAGUGUAUUGGGAUGAAUAUUGAAUUAGCAACCAUCGUUAUGAAACCAUGUGGACUACUGAUGACCACCUGAUGUACUAAAAACAAGAAAAUACCUCCAUAUGGUUAAUGUAUUUUGUUAUGUUUAAAUGUGAA
Molecule: long non-coding RNA, 715 nt
Organism: Pelodiscus sinensis (Chinese soft-shelled turtle)
Lineage: Eukaryota; Metazoa; Chordata; Testudines; Trionychidae
Source: RefSeq, a predicted model, not a curated record